Molecule: ribosomal RNA, 1058 nt
Filed under: Phyllachora graminis
Lineage: Eukaryota; Fungi; Ascomycota; Sordariomycetes; Phyllachorales; Phyllachoraceae
Description: bacterial SSU rRNA
Rfam family: Eukaryotic small subunit ribosomal RNA
Source: RNAcentral
UAUACCGCGAACUGCGAAUGGCUCAUUAAAUCAGUUAUCGUUCAUUUGAUAGCACCUUACUACAUGGAUAACCGUGGUAAUUCUAGAGCUAAUACAUGCUAUAAACCUCGACUCACGGGGGGGGUGUAUUUAUUAGAUUCAAAACCCAUGCCCUCCGGGGCUUUCAUGGGGGAUUCAUGAUAACUUCGUCGGGAUCGCAGUGGCCAUGGCGCCGGCGAAGGGUCAUUUCAAAAUUCCUGCCCCCUAUCAAACUUUUCGAUGGCUGGGGUCAUUGGCCAUGCCAUCGGUGUACAACGGAGGUAAUCGGAGGAAGUUUACGGGGCGUCGACUCCCGGGAGAGGGAGCCUGAGAGAGCGGGCUACUAACAUUCCAAGGAAGGGCAGCAGGCGCCGCAAAUACCCCAAUCCCGAUUCGGGGAAGUAGUGACAAUACAUACUGAUACAGAGGCUCCUUUUGGGUCUUGGAAUUGGAAUGAGUACAAUUUAAAUCCCUUUACGAGGAACAAUUAGAGGGCAAGUCAGGUGCCAGCUGCCGCUCUAAUUCCGGCUCUAAUAGAGUAUAUUAAAGUUGUUGAGGUUAAAAACGCUCGUAGUUGAACCCUGGGCCUGGCUGGCCGGUCCGCCUCUGCGCGUGCACUGCUCCGGCCGGGUCCUUUCCCUCUGGGGGAGCCGCAUGCCCUUUACUGGGUGUGCCGGGGGAACCAGGACUUUUUACUCUGAAAAAAUCAGAUCGCUUAAAGAAGGCCUAUGCUCGAAUAGUUCUAGCAUGGGAAUAAUAGAAUUAGGGGAACGCGCGGUCUCUAUUUUGUUGGAUUUCUAGGACCGCCGUAAUGAAUAAUAGGGACAGUCGGGGGGCAUCAGUAUUCAAUUGUCAGAGGUGAAAUUCUUGGAUUUUAUUGAAGACUAACUACUGCGAAAGCAUUUGCCAAGGAUGUUUCAUUAAUCAGGAACGAAAGUUAGGGGAUCGAAGACGAUCAGAUACCGUCGUAGUCUUAACCAUAAACUAUGCCGAUUAGGAUCGAGCAAUGUUCUUUUGACUCGUCUCGCACCUACGAGAAU